Molecule: ribosomal RNA, 492 nt
Filed under: uncultured bacterium
Lineage: Bacteria
Description: partial 16S ribosomal RNA
Rfam family: Bacterial small subunit ribosomal RNA
Source: RNAcentral
AGUGAACGCUGGCGGUAGGCCUAACACAUGCAAGUCGAACGGCAGCACAGUAAGAGCUUGCUCUUACUGGUGGCGAGUGGCGGACGGGUGAGGCAUACAUCGGAAUCUACUUUUUCUUGGGUGAUAACGUAGGGAAACUUACGCUAAUACCGCAUACGACCUACGGGUUAAAGCAGGGGAUCUUCGCACCUUGCGCGAUUGUAUGAGCCGAUGUCGGAUUAGCUAGUUGGCGGGGUAAAGGCCCACCAAGGCGACGAUCCGUAGCUGGUCUGAGAGGAUGAUCAGCCACACUGGAACUGAGACACGGUCCAGACUCCUACGGGAGGCAGCAGUGGGGAAUAUUGGACAAUGGGCGCAAGCCUGAUCCAGCAAUACCGCGUGGGUGAAGAAGGCCUUCGGGUUGUAAAGCCCUUUUGUUGGGAAAGAAAAGCAGCAGGUUAAUACCCCGCUGUUCUGACGGUACCCAAAGAAUAAGCAACGGCUAACUUCGUG